This is a non-coding RNA of Cephalotus follicularis, 90 nucleotides long. The record is from Rfam. Lineage: Eukaryota; Viridiplantae; Streptophyta; Magnoliopsida; Oxalidales; Cephalotaceae.
GGGAGCCGUAUGAGGUGAAAAUAUUAUGUACGGUUCUCUUCUAUUGAGUGGCAUUAGUGUUGUCAUUCUUCAAAAGUUCAUCUACUUGAU